Molecule: long non-coding RNA, 1847 nt
Filed under: Homo sapiens (human)
Lineage: Eukaryota; Metazoa; Chordata; Mammalia; Primates; Hominidae
Description: HSALNT0369688
Source: RNAcentral
GGCCGAGGAGGCGCCAAGAGCGAGCGAGGGCUGCGACGACUGCCAGCAUGCUGUCACCUCUCACUAUGACUGUCUGGGAUCUGCUUUAUAAAUAAACAAGCUUCCUACAAUUAUCCUCAUCUCAUGGAAAAACUAGACAGAGGAAAAGAAAAGAGGCAAAUGGAGCUUCCUUUGCUAAGAGCUCAAAUAACUCUCCUCUACAUAGUCUUCUUCAAACAAAAACACAAAGCUAAUUUUCCAUUUACUCUUUGAGAGUUCCACAGAAAAACAAAAAAACCAAGUGACAUUAAUUGAUACUGGACACAAUCUGUGAUAUCAGUGAUUAAGUUGGAGUUAUGCAAGUGGAUCAUUUGCCACCAACCAGAAAAUAAGGAUUCCUUUCAAGUGGAUGUGGGAUAUGAAUAUUUUUUGGCACAAGACAGUAGUUCAAUUGGUAAAAAUUUCAUCAAUGGUGACUUUGGAGAAUGUCAUGUUGCAGGUGAAUGUCCUAACCAGGACAAUAUUCAUGCAUUUGAAAAAUCCAGCGUGAGAAACAUAGAAAGGCUAAGGUCAGAGAUCUGCUUGGGAAAACUUGAGGCAUUAAAAUAUUGGAAGAGGACAUCUGGGUAAAUUUCCCCAAGGAUCUACAACUUGAGAGCCUAAAGAAUUGACCCACCAUUCUCUAUGAAGAGCUAGACAUUUUCUCAUGCAAGAAGAUACUUCAGAGGCCACUUUCACAUAAGAUAAAUGGUAUGUUUAUCAGGAAUUACUCCCACUUUUUCUCUAGGCUUCUAGGCUAAAAAUCAUGGCUAAAUUCCAGCAUAACCCAGCUGAGGGAUAAAAACAUACUGGGACUGAUAAGUAAGAAAAGAGAUAAUCAUUUCAUUAAGUUCAAUAAUUAGCUAGUAUGUGCUUUCAGGAUUCAGAAUAGUAUCCAUGAGAUUGGAUGUUUGAGUAUGCCGUGGUUUGAAUGUAUCCUUCAAAAUUCAUAUGUUGGAAACUUAAGUCCCAGUGCAACAGUGUUGAGAGGUGAGAACUUUAAAAAGUAGUUAGAUCAUGAGGGCUGUGAACCCUGAAAGAGCCAAUCCUUUAAGAUGGAACCUGAGUGGCUAACUGGGCCUAAAUUCAAACGGGAGCUGAGUUCCAUUUGCUGACCAGACAUUACACAUGCACUCUUCAUUCUUGGAAAAACCACAUAUUGGUAUAACUGUGAGAUUCUCAUAUCUGCCUAUUUCUGUUUAUACUCCUGAGCCAAUGGUUACCAUCACUUUGAUCUAACCAAUAGCCUGUGACCCACAGUGAAACUUAACCUCAACCAGCUGAAACUAAGCAAGCUUGCAUCCCUCAUUUGCACAGCAUAGCAUAGUGGGAACCUCAGCAGGAACUUUUUCUAUAAAGGACAACCCCUGUCUUUGUUCUGGUAGAACACAUCUUUGUUUUGUAUUGAAGGCUGUGUAUCCCCCGUUCACAAACCGCUUGUGGAAAUAAAGCCUCUUUAAAUCUGAUACUUCUUUUUCAGUAGUCUUGUUAACAAGACUCUGUCCUCAUUAAUGCAUUAGUACCAUUAUUGCAGGAAUGAGUUUCUGAUAAAAAGAUGAAUUUUACUUCCUUCCCUCUGUUUUGCAUGUGCUCUCUUGCCCUUCUGCCUUCUCCAUGGGAUGACACAGGAAGAAGACCAUCACCAGAGAUGAAUGGACAUUUGAUAUUACCAAGAAUAUGCAUAAUGACUUGGAAGUUACCAUUUGAACAAUUGACAUUCUUGAGCAUCUUAGGUUGGAUUUCCUAGGAACAGAACCUGUGACAGGAAUUCAGGUGGAGCUGUUUUAGGCUGGGUGCUGUGGCCCAGGCCUGGAAUCCCAGCACUUCAG